This 735-nucleotide ribosomal RNA is filed under the name Triticum aestivum (bread wheat). Its description in RNAcentral is "partial small subunit ribosomal RNA". Lineage: Eukaryota; Viridiplantae; Streptophyta; Magnoliopsida; Poales; Poaceae. The record is from RNAcentral.
AUGGGGAGGCGGCGAGUUAGUAGCAGUAGGUGGCAAAGUGGCUUUGUUACCUAUUUCAUUAGGAACCGCAGAUUUUUUAGUCCAUCACAUUCAUGCAUUUACCAUACAUGUGACUGUAUUAAUACUUUUGAAAGGUGUUUUAUUUGCUCGGAGUUCCCGUUUGAUACCCAUAAAGCAAAUCUAGGUUUUCGCUUUCCUUGCGAUGGGCCUGGCCGAGGGGGAACAUGUCAAGUAUCCACCUGGGAUCAUGUUUUCUUAGGUUUAUUCUGGAUGUACAAUGCAAUUUCGGUAGUCAUUUUCCAUUUCAGUUGGAAAAUGCAGUCGGAUGUUUGGGGUACUAUAAGUGAUCAAGGGGUGGUAACUCAUAUUACAGGGGGAAACUUUGCACAGAGUUCCAUUACGAUUAAUGGGUGGCUUCGAGAUUUCUUGUGGGCACAGGCAUCGCAAGUCAUUCAGUCUUAUGGUUCUUCAUUAUCUGCAUAUGGUCUUUUUUUCUUAGGUGCUCAUUUUGUCUGGGCAUUCAGUUUAAUGUUUUUAUUCAGCGGCCGUGGUUAUUGGCAAGAACUCAUUGAAUCUAUCGUUUGGGCUCAUAACAAAUUAAAAGUUGCUCCUGCUACUCAGCCUAGAGCCUUGAGCAUUAUACAAGGACGCGCUGUAGGAGUAACCCAUUACCUUAUGGGUGGAAUUGCCACGACAUGGGCAUUCUUCUUAGCGAGAAUUUUUGCAGUAGGAUAG